AUUGAACGCUGGCGGCAUGCCUUACACAUGCAAGUCGAACGGCAGCACGGGGCGACCUACCGUGGUCGGACGUGGUCGGGAACCGGGUAACGGGUAGGUAAAGUUAAACUAACUACGGUAACCGGGUAACGGUUCCGUUCCGUUAGGUACGGGGGGACGGGGGUAAACCUUAACCCUUCCGUAAACGGAAAGGAAGGGACGGUAACUUAAACCGUACCCGACUAACGUAACCCCGAACCCUAGGGUUGGGGUAAAGGAAAGGGGGGAAGGGGUACGUCCGAACGAAACCGUACCCUUCCUACCUAACUUUAGGUAGGGAC
RNAcentral lists this ribosomal RNA (320 nucleotides) under uncultured bacterium. RNAcentral describes it as "partial 16S ribosomal RNA". The record is from RNAcentral.